AUUGAUUGGAAGGAGUUCGAAGGAGAAUUCGAUUGUCAACAGCGACCUGGCAUCAACUCCCCCAAGCCCAUUCAUCUGUAGCAGCAGAAAAAACAGUUACGUGAACUGUCACACCCAACUCUACUGUUAAUUUAAGGAUGCUUCAGUGCUACUGCAACAAUCUCCACCCAGCCGAGGGCAAGAGGCUCAUUUUGAUUGGCAGCAAGGGUACUCCCUAUCUAUUAGUUCAAGACGACCGCCAAGUGGAAAGCUUUGACCUACAAGCAGAUUCCAAGUUUCGCCAUCCUGCCCAGCUGCCUAGAAUAGACGACACUGACUCUUUUGUCGGGGUGAGUCAAUCUGUGUGGGUGUGAAUGCAUUAGCCCUUCACAACAGAAUUAUGCCCCUAGACACCCCCGCUUUGCUUUCAAAUAUUGUGUGAUAGGUUCCCGCGGUUGUGUUUAGAUCACUUCCGGGCAAUGAAUCGCCAUAAGAGAAGAUGAAUGGUGCCCA
Molecule: long non-coding RNA, 492 nt
Organism: Gasterosteus aculeatus aculeatus (three-spined stickleback)
Lineage: Eukaryota; Metazoa; Chordata; Actinopteri; Perciformes; Gasterosteidae
Source: Ensembl